UGCCCUAGUACGGCGAGUGAGCGGCAACAGCUCAAAUUUGAAAUCUGGCUCUCGGGCCCGAGUUGUAAUUUGUAGAGGAUGCUUUUGAUGCGGUGCCUUCCGAGUUCCCUGGAACGGGACGCCAUAGAGGGUGAGAGCCCCGUCUGGUUGGAUGCCAAAUCUCUGUAAAGCUCCUUCGACGAGUCGAGUAGUUUGGGAAUGCUGCUCUAAAUGGGAGGUAUAUGUCUUCUAAAGCUAAAUACCGGCCAGAGACCGAUAGCGCACAAGUAGAGUGAUCGAAAGAUGAAAAGCACUUUGAAAAGAGAGUUAAAAAGUACGUGAAAUUGUUGAAAGGGAAGCGUUUAUGACCAGACUUGGGCUUGGUUAAUCAUCUGGGGUUCUCCCCAGUGCACUUUUCCAGUCCAGGCCAGCAUCAGUUUUCGCCGGGGGAUAAAGGCUUCGGGAAUGUGGCUCUCUCCGGGGAGUGUUAUAGCCCGUUGCGUAAUACCCUGGCGGGGACUGAGGUUCGCGCAUCUGCAAGGAUGCUGGCGUAAUGGUCAUCAACGACCCGUCUUGAAACACGGACCAAGGAGUCGUCUUCGUAUGCGAGUGUUCGGGUGUCAAACCCCUACGCGUAAUGAAAGUGAACGCAGGUGAGAGCUUCGGCGCAUCAUCGACCGAUCCUGAUGUUCUCGGAUGGAUUUGAGUAAGAGCAUACGGGGCCGGACCCGAAAGAAGGUGAACUAUGCCUGUGUAGGGUGAAGCCAGAGGAAACUCUGGUGGAGGCUCGCAGCGGUUCUGACGUGCAAAUCGAUCGUCAAACAUGGGCAUG
RNAcentral lists this ribosomal RNA (811 nucleotides) under Fusarium equiseti. RNAcentral's name for it is "eukaryotic LSU rRNA". It matches the Rfam family "Eukaryotic large subunit ribosomal RNA", at positions 76 to 919 of the family's 3401-position model. Lineage: Eukaryota; Fungi; Ascomycota; Sordariomycetes; Hypocreales; Nectriaceae. The record is from RNAcentral.